AGUCGAGCGGACAGAAGGGAGCUUGCUCCCGGAUGUUAGCGGCGGACGGGUGAGUAACACGUGGGUAACCUGCCUGUAAGACUGGGAUAACUCCGGGAAACCGGAGCUAAUACCGGAUAGUUCCUUGAACCGCAUGGUUCAAGGAUGAAAGACGGUUUCGGCUGUCACUUACAGAUGGACCCGCGGCGCAUUAGCUAGUUGGUGAGGUAACGGCUCACCAAGGCGACGAUGCGUAGCCGACCUGAGAGGGUGAUCGGCCACACUGGGACUGAGACACGGCCCAGACUCCUACGGGAGGCAGCAGUAGGGAAUCUUCCGCAAUGGACGAAAGUCUGACGGAGCAACGCCGCGUGAAGUGAUGAAGGUUUUCGGAUCGUAAAGCUCUGUUGUUAGGGAAGAACAAGUGCAAGAGUAACUGCUUGCACCUUGACGGUACCUAACCAGAAAGCCACGGCUAACUACGUGCCAGCAGCCGCGGUAAUACGUAGGUGGCAAGCGUUGUCCGGAAUUAUUGGGCGUAAAGGGCUCGCAGGCGGUUUCUUAAGUCUGAUGUGAAAGCCCCCGGCUCAACCGGGGAGGGUCAUUGGAAACUGGGAAACUUGAGUGCAGAAGAGGAGAGUGGAAUUCACGUGUAGCGGUGAAAUGCGUAGAGAUGUGGAGGAACACCAGUGGCGAAGGCGACUCUCUGGUCUGUAACUGACGCUGAGGAGCGAAAGCGUGGGGAGCGAACAGGAUUAGAUACCCUGGUAGUCCACGCCGUAAACGAUGAGUGCUAAGUGUUAGGGGGUUUCCGCCCCUUAGUGCUGCAGCUAACGCAUUAAGCACUCCGCCUGGGGAGUACGGUCGCAAGACUGAAACUCAAAGGAAUUGACGGGGGCCCGCACAAGCGGUGGAGCAUGUGGGUUUAAUUCGAAGCAACGCGAAGAACCUUACCAGGUCUUGACAUCCUCUGACAACCCUAGAGAUAGGGCUUUCCCUUCGGGACAGAGUGACAGGUGGUGCAUGGUUGUCGUCAGCUCGUGUCGUGAGAUGUUGGGUUAAGUCCCGCAACGAGCGCAACCCUUGAUCUUAGUUGCCAGCAUUCAGUUGGGCACUCUAAGGUGACUGCCGGUGACAAACCGGAGGAAGGUGGGGAUGACGUCAAAUCAUCAUGCCCCUUAUGACCUGGGCUACACACGUGCUACAAUGGACAGAACAAAGGGCUGCGAGACCGCAAGGUUUAGCCAAUCCCACAAAUCUGUUCUCAGUUCGGAUCGCAGUCUGCAACUCGACUGCGUGAAGCUGGAAUCGCUAGUAAUCGCGGAUCAGCAUGCCGCGGUGAAUACGUUCCCGGGCCUUGUACACACCGCCCGUCACACCACGAGAGUUUGCAACACCCGAAGUCGGUGAGGUAACCUUAUGAGCCAGCCGCCGAA
This 1415-nucleotide ribosomal RNA is filed under the name Bacillus altitudinis. Its description in RNAcentral is "bacterial SSU rRNA". It matches the Rfam family "Bacterial small subunit ribosomal RNA". The record is from RNAcentral. Lineage: Bacteria; Bacillati; Bacillota; Bacilli; Caryophanales; Bacillaceae.